Heterocephalus glaber (naked mole-rat) is the source of this 362-nucleotide non-coding RNA. The record is from RefSeq and is a predicted model, not a curated record. Lineage: Eukaryota; Metazoa; Chordata; Mammalia; Rodentia; Bathyergidae.
UGUGACUUUGAAUACAAUUAGAAGCAGACCAAACGAUGCAAAAAUAAAGCUGCUGACAUUCAUCCUUAUGGUGCACAUUAGCUGGAAUGGAUACAAAAUGUCACCAAGCCAUUUCAGAACAAACAUAUUGGGGACUGCAAGUCUGCCGCUUGGAGAAUCAUCACUGCACACAUCAAGAGAGCACCCCCUGCACCUGGAAGAUACGUGUGUCUCUCCACAAGCGAAUCAACUAGUGGACUUCCAAAGCCUUCGUGUAGUUUUCCUUUUGUGGAAAUGGAAUCAGGCAGUAUGUAUUGUUUUGUGCUGUGUUGCUUUUGCUCAAAAUCACGUUUGUAUGAAAUUUAUCACUGUUGUUGCAUUCA